GACCUGGUCGGGCGGUCUUGCCGAAAGGUAAGCACUGCUUCGGCCGGGUCUUUUAUUCUGGAAAACCAGCGUGCUCUUGAUUGAGUGCGCUGGGGAUCCAGGACUUUUACUUUGAAAAAAUUAGAGUGUUUAAAGCAGGCAUAUGCUUGAAUACAUUAGCAUGGAAUAAUAGAAUAGGACUUUGGUUCUAUUUUGUUGGUUUCUAGGACCGAAGUA
RNAcentral lists this ribosomal RNA (216 nucleotides) under uncultured fungus. RNAcentral describes it as "partial small subunit ribosomal RNA". The stretch from base 49 to 216 matches the Rfam family "Eukaryotic small subunit ribosomal RNA", at positions 694 to 864 of the family's 1831-position model. The record is from RNAcentral. Lineage: Eukaryota; Fungi.